UACGUAGGGAGCUAUCGUUGUCCGGAAUCAUUGGGCGUAAAGCGCGCGUAGGCGGCCCGGUAAGUCCGCUGUGAAAGUCAAAGGCUCAACCUUUGAAUGUCAGCGGAUACUGCCGGGCUAGAGUCCGGAAGAGGCGAGUGGAACUCCUGGUGUAGCGGUGGAAUGCGCAGAUAUCAGGAAGAACACCAACGGCGAAGGCAGCUCGCUGGGACGGAACUGACGCUAAGGCGCGAAAGCGUGGGGAGCGAACAGG
This 253-nucleotide ribosomal RNA is filed under the name uncultured bacterium. RNAcentral describes it as "partial 16S ribosomal RNA". It matches the Rfam family "Bacterial small subunit ribosomal RNA", at positions 524 to 776 of the family's 1533-position model. The record is from RNAcentral.